AAUGAACGCUGGCGGCGUGGAUUAGGCAUGCAAGUCGAGCGCGAUGGUUUCUUUUGCUUGCAUUAGAAACCGGAAAGCGGCGAAAGGGAGAGUAACGCGUAGGAUACCUGCCCCCAGGUUCGGGAUAGCGGUGGGAAACCGCCGGUAAUACCGGAUAAUGUCCCCGGACCAAAGGUGUGAUUCCGCCUGGGGAUGGUCCUGCGUCCUAUUAGUUUGUUGGUGGGGUAACGGCCUACCAAGACUUUGAUGGGUAGCGGGCGUGAGAGCGUGGCCCGUCUCACUGGGACUGAGACACUGCCCAGACACCUACGGGUGGCUGCAGUCGAGAAUCUUCCGCAAUGGACGCAAGUCUGACGGAGCGACGCCGCGUGCGGGAUGAAGGCCUUCGGGUUGUAAACCGCUGUCAGUGGGGUGGAAAUGCAUUAGGGCUAUCCCUAAUGUUUGACCUAACCGCAGAGGAAGUCCGGGCUAAGUACG
Molecule: ribosomal RNA, 477 nt
Filed under: uncultured Planctomycetaceae bacterium
Lineage: Bacteria; Pseudomonadati; Planctomycetota; Planctomycetia; Planctomycetales; Planctomycetaceae
Description: bacterial SSU rRNA
Rfam family: Bacterial small subunit ribosomal RNA
Source: RNAcentral